AACGCGGGCGGCGUGCCUAACACAUGCAAGUCGAACGCGAAAGUCCCGCAAGGGAUGAGUAGAGUGGCAAACGGGUGAGUAACACGUGGGUGACCUGCCUUCGAGCGGGGGAUAACGUCCCGAAAGGGACGCUAAUACCGCACGACAUCCUGUUUUUUAAGAGAUGGUGAUCAAAGCCGGGGAUCGCAAGACCUGGCACUCGAAGAGGGGCCCGCGCCUGAUUAGCUAGUUGGUGAGGUAACGGCUCACCAAGGCAACGAUCAGUAUCCGGCCUGAGAGGGCGGACGGACACACUGGGACUGAGACACGGCCCAGACUCCUACGGGAGGCAGCAGUGGGGAAUUGUUCGCAAUGGGCGCAAGCCUGACGACGCAACGCCGCGUGGAGGAUGAAGAUCUUCGGGUCGUAAACUCCUUUCGAUCGAGACGAACGGCCCUGGGGUGAAUAAUCCCGGGGAGUGACGGUACCGAGAGAAGAAGCCCCGGCUAACUCCGUGCCAGCAGCCGCGGUAAUACGGGGGGGGCAAGCGUUGUUCGGAAUUACUGGGCGUAAAGGGCUCGUAGGCGGCCAACUAAGUCGGACGUGAAAUCCCUCGGCUUAACCGGGGAACUGCGUCCGAUACUGGAUGGCUUGAGUGUGGGAGAGGGAUGCGGAAUUCCAGGUGUAGCGGUGAAAUGCGUAGAUAUCUGGAGGAACACCGGCGGCGAAGGCGGCAUCCUGGACCAUGACUGACGCUGAGGAGCGAAAGCCAGGGGAGCAAACGGGAUUAGAUACCCCGGUAGUCCUGGCCCUAAACGAUGAAUGCUUGGUGUGGCGGGUAUCGAUCCCUGCCGUGCCGAAGCUAACGCAUUAAGCAUUCCGCCUGGGGAGUAC
RNAcentral lists this ribosomal RNA (873 nucleotides) under uncultured bacterium. RNAcentral describes it as "bacterial SSU rRNA". It matches the Rfam family "Bacterial small subunit ribosomal RNA", at positions 32 to 883 of the family's 1533-position model. The record is from RNAcentral.